RNAcentral lists this ribosomal RNA (253 nucleotides) under uncultured bacterium. RNAcentral's name for it is "partial 16S ribosomal RNA". It matches the Rfam family "Bacterial small subunit ribosomal RNA", at positions 524 to 776 of the family's 1533-position model. The record is from RNAcentral.
UACGGGGGGGGCAAGCGUUGUUCGGAAUUACUGGGCGUAAAGGGCUCGUAGGCGGCCAACUAAGUCAUACGUGAAAUCCCUCGGCUUAACCGGGGAACUGCGUCUGAUACUGGAUGGCUUGAGUUCGGGAGAGGGAUGCGGAAUUCCAGGUGUAGCGGUGAAAUGCUUAGAUAUCGUCAAGAACACCAAUAGUGAAGACAGCUUACUAGGCUUAUACUGACGCUGAGGCACGAAAGUGUGGGGAUCAAACAGG